Long non-coding RNA from Dama dama (fallow deer), 3557 nucleotides. RefSeq lists it as uncharacterized. NCBI's taxonomy places the organism in Eukaryota, Metazoa, Chordata, Mammalia, Artiodactyla, Cervidae. The record is from RefSeq and is a predicted model, not a curated record. The transcript has 3 exons.
GCGGCCUGAGCUGGCGGAAACCCAACGGGAGCUGGCGGAAACCCAACGCGAGCUGGCUCUUCUGGAGGUUGAGGCCAGCUGGACAUUCCCAGGAGCAUGUACCCUGAGCCACUCAGCGCUUUGCGUGGGCUUUUAACUGCCCCUCUGGACUGCUAAACUAAGGAGUGCGGAGCCACUUGGACACGCGCAUUUUAGACUUUAGGGACCUCGGAGACCACUUGAGUCUGUCAGCCUCAGUCCUGUGGGACUCUGCAACCCUAUCGUGGACUGUAGCCCGCCAGGCUCCUCUGUCUAUGGAAUUUUUUAGGCAAGAAAACUGGAGCUGUUUGUCAUUUCCUACUUCAGAGAUCUUCCUUCCCAAACCAGGGCUGGAACCGGUGUCUCUUGCGUCUCUUGCAUUGGCAGGUGGAUUCUUUGCCACUCCGUCACCGUGGAAGCCCAGAGACCACUUUCCCAUCCCAAACUACCUCUGGUAUAUCGGAAGAGCUUUUAGCUGCCUGUACACAUGUUAUUCUUUCUUAUGUCAUCUGGCUAAAGGAAGCCUUGACUGUAAAGGAGAAUACCACAGUAUGGCGACCACUGAGAAAUGAGACAGGAAGCUCCACAAAUACUGGUUAGUUCCUUGAGGAAGGAGACUGCCAUGAAAUUGGACAAUCAUUGUGGAUUGCCUCUGGAUAUCUGCUCAAACACAUCCUCCAACACAUCCCCUAAGAGCUCUUGUUUGCUGGUCAGUUUCAGGCCACAGCAAUCAGAAAAGAAGAAAUAAAAGGAAGAGAAGAAAAUUGGAAGAGAAGAAAAACUCUAUUUACAUAUGACCUGAUAUUAUAUAUAGAAAACCCUGAAGUCUCUAUCAAAAAAGAGAAAUUAAGGAAAUGAUCCCAUUUACAAUGACAUCAAAAAGAAAGAAGUACCUAGGAAUAAACUUAACCAAGAAUGUGAAAGACCUAUACUCUGAAAGCUAUAAAUCAUUAAUGAAGGAAUUUGAAAAUGAUACAAAGAAAUGGGAAGAUAUCCAUAAGGGAUUAAUAUCCAGCAUAUAUAAACAGCUCAUGUGCUGUGCUAUGCAGCGCUCAGUCGUUUAAGUCAUGUCCAGCUCUUUGCAGCCCCAUGGACCAUAGGCCACCAGACUCCUCUGUCCAUGGGAUUUUCCUUGCAAGAGUACUGGAGUGGGUUGCCAUGCCCUCCUCCAGGGGCUCUUCCCAACCCAGGGAUAGAACCUGAGUCUCCUGUGUCUCCUGUAUUUCAGGCAGAUUCUUUGUUGCUGAGCCAUCAAGAAAGCCCAAACAGCUCAUAUAAUUAUAUAUAUAUAUAUAUUUUUUUUUUAACUAAUUUAAAAAAUGUGCAAGAAGAAGCUGAAUAGACAUUUUUUUUCCAAACGAGACAUAAAGAUGGCUUACAGGCACAUGGAAAAAUGCUCAGCAUCACUAAUUAUUAGAGAAAUGUAAAUCAAAAGCAAAAGGAGAUAGCACUUCACACUUGUCAGAAUGGCUCUCAUUAAAAAGUCUUCAAAUAACUAAUGUUGGUGAGGAUGAGGAGAAAAAGGAAUCUGGUAAACUGUUGAUAGGUGCAGCUACCAUGAAAAUAGUAUGCGGUUUCCUCAAAGAACUAAAGAUAGAAAUACCAUAUGAUCCACCAAUGCCACUGUUGGGUAUAUGUCCAAAAAUAAAAGUCCCACUAAUUUGAAAAGAUACAUGCAUGCCAAUGUUCAUAGAAGAAUUAUCCCCAAUAGCCAAGCUAUAAGGCUAUUUCAGACCUUAAAAGAUGAUGUUGCUAAAGUGCUACACUCAAUAUGCCAGCAAAUUUGGAAAACUCAGAAGUGGCCACAGGACUGGAAAAGGUCAGUUUUCAUUCCAAUCCCAAAGAAAGGCAAUGCCAAAGAAUGUUCAAACUACCACACAAUUACACUCUUCUCACAGGCUAGCAAAGUAAUGCUCAAAAUUCUCCAGGCCAGGCUUCAAUACUAUGUGAAUUGAGAACUUCCAGAUGUUCAAGCUGGAUUUAGAAAAGGUAGAGGAACCAGAGGUCAAAUUGCCAACAUCCAAUGGAUCAUAGAAAAAACAAGAAAAUCCCAGAAAAACAUCUACUUCUGCUUCAUUGACUACACUAAAGUCUUUGACUAUGUGGAUCACAACAAAAUAUGGAAAAUUCUUAAAGAAAUGGGAAUACCAGAACAUCUCACCUGCCUCCUAAGAAACCUGUAUGCAGGUCAAGAAGCAACAAUUAGAACCAGACAUGGAACAAAAGACUGGUUCAAAAUUGGGAAAGGAGUACAUCAAGGCUGUAUAUUAUCACCCUGCUUCUUUAACUUCUAUGCAGAGUACAUCAUGAGAAAUGCUGGCUGGACGAAGCACAAGCUGGAAUCAAGAUUGCCAGGAGAAAUAUCAGUAACCGCAGAUAUGCAGAUGACGCCAUCCUUAUGGCAGAAAGUGAAGAGGAACUGAAAAACCUCUUCGUGAAGGUAAAAGAGGAGAGUGAAAAAGCUGGCUUGAAACUCUAACUUCAAAAAAUCAAGAUCAUGGCACAGGUCCCAUCACUUCAUGGCAAAUAGGUGGGGAAACAAUGAAAGCAGUGACAGACUUUAUUUUGGGGGGCUCCAAAAUCACUGCAGAUGGUGGCUGCAGCCAUGAAAUUAAAAGAUGCUUGCUCCUUGGAAGAAAAGCUAUGACUAACCUAGACAGCAUAUUGAAAAGCAGAGACAUUACUUUGUCGCAAAGAUCCAUCUAGUCAAAGCUAUGGUUUUUCCAGUAGUCAUAUAUGGAUGUGAGAGUUGGACCCUAAAGAAGGCUGAGUGCCGAAGAAUUGAUGUUUUUGAAUUGUGGUGUUGGAGAAAACUCUUGAGGGUCCCAUGGACUGCAAGGAGAUCAAACCAGUCAAUCCUAAUGGAAAUCAGUCCUGAAUAUUCAUUGGAAGGACUGAUGCUGAAGCUGAAACUCCAAUACUUUGGCCACUUCAUGCUAAGAGUCAACUCAUUGGAAAAGACCCUGGUGCUGGGAAAAAUUGAAGGCAGGGGGAAAAGGGGACGACAGAGGAUGAGAUGGUUGGAUGGCGUCACUGGCUCAAUGAACAUGAGUUUGAGCAAGCUCUGGGAGUUGCUGAUGGACAGGGAAGCCUGGCGUGCUGCAGUCUAUGGGGUUGCAAAAACUCGGACAUGACUGAGUGACUGAACUACAACAACAACAAUAAGAUAUAGAAGUAACACAAGCCCAUCAGCAGAUGAAUGGAUAAAGAAGAUGUGGUAUAUAUAUACAAUGGAAUAUUACCUAGCCAUAAUGAAGAAUGAAAUUCUGCCCUUUGCAACAGUGUGGAUGUACCUAGAGACUAUUAUGCUUAGUGAAGUAAGUCAGAUGGAGGAAGACAAAUAUUCUUAUGUUCUCACUUAUAUGUAGAAAUUAAGAAAAUAAAGCAUACAAAUGUGUAUAACAAAAAAGAAACAGAGUCAAGAAUAUAAGAACAAAGUAGUAUUUAGCAGUGGGGAGAGGGAAGGGAAGAGGGACAAGAUGGAGUUAUGGGAUUAAGAGACACAAACUAUUGCAUAUAAAAUAAAUAAGGAACAAGUA